AGAUAAGGCGGUUAAGGUUGGUGUAAGUAGGGCGCUCAAUGUCCAGUGAGCGCCUGCAAAUGUCAUAAAUGGCUUCAUUGUCCAGAAGGAUGGAAACAUCAGUGUGCUCGAGGAGGGAAUGAGUUGACAGAACACUGUUGUACGGCUCAACAACAGAAGUUGAGACCUGUGGUGAAGGAUAAAUUGUGAAACCAAGUUUUGACUUCUUUCCGUAGUCAACAGAGAGACGCUCCAGAAGAAGCGACCCCAGACCUGAACCAGUACCACCACCAACAGCAUUGAAUACCAGGAACCCUUGAAGACCAGUACAGUUGUCUGCAAGCUUUCGGAUGCGAUCCAAGCAAAGAUCAACAAUCUCUUUCCCAACUACAAACAGACACAAAACAAUCAGCAUUUGACUGAAGAACCAAAAACUAACUUCAGCAAGAUAUAAUACUUACUGGUAUAGUGGCCACGGGCAAAGUUGUUGGCUGCAUCUUCCUUGCCGCUUAUGAGCUGUUCAGGGUGAAAGAGCUGUCGGUAUGUUCCUGUCCUCACUUCA
This 541-nucleotide long non-coding RNA is filed under the name Nicotiana tabacum (common tobacco). RNAcentral describes it as "long non-coding RNA (NTAB_LNC000411)". Lineage: Eukaryota; Viridiplantae; Streptophyta; Magnoliopsida; Solanales; Solanaceae. The record is from RNAcentral.